GUGCACGCUGGCGGUAGGCCUAACACAUGCAAGUCGAACGGCAGCACAGUAAGAGCUUGCUCUUACGGGUGGCGAGUGGCGGACGGGUGAGGAAUACAUCGGAAUCUACUUUUUCGUGGGGGAUAACGUAGGGAAACUUACGCUAAUACCGCAUACGACCUACGGGUGAAAGCAGGGGAUCUUCGGACCUUGCGCGAUUGAAUGAGCCGAUGUCGGAUUAGCUAGUUGGCGGGGUAAAGGCCCACCAAGGUGACGAUCCGUAGCUGGUCUGAGAGGAUGAUCAGCCACACUGGAACUGAGACACGGUCCAGACUCCUACGGGAGGCAGCAGUGGGGAAUAUUGGACAAUGGGCGCAAGCCUGAUCCAGCCAUACCGCGUGGGUGAAGAAGGCCUUCGGGUUGUAAAGCCCUUUUGUUGGGAAAGAAAAGCAGCAGGUUAAUACCCCGCUGUUCUGACGGUACCCAAAGAAUAAGCACCGGCUAACUUCGUG
This 491-nucleotide ribosomal RNA is filed under the name uncultured bacterium. RNAcentral's name for it is "partial 16S ribosomal RNA". It matches the Rfam family "Bacterial small subunit ribosomal RNA", at positions 29 to 507 of the family's 1533-position model. The record is from RNAcentral.